GAUGAACGCUGGCGGCGUGCCUAAUACAUGCAAGUCGAGCGAACAGACGAGGAGCUUGCUCCUCUGACGUUAGCGGCGGACGGGUGAGUAACACGUGGAUAACCUACCUAUAAGACUGGGAUAACUUCGGGAAACCGGAGCUAAUACCGGAUAAUAUAUUGAACCGCAUGGUUCAAUAGUGAAAGACGGUUUUGCUGUCACUUAUAGAUGCAUCCGCGCUGCAUUAGCUAGUUGGUAAGGUAACGGCUUACCAAGGCUACGAUGCGUAGCCGACCUGAGAGGGUGAUCGGCCACACUGGAACUGAGACACGGUCCAGACUCCUACGGGAGGCAGCAGUAGGGAAUCUUCCGCAAUGGGCGAAAGCCUGACGGAGCAACGCCGCGUGAGUGAUGAAGGUCUUCGGAUCGUAAAACUCUGUUAUUAGGGAAGAACAAAUGUGUAAGUAACUAUGCACGUCUUGACGGUACCUAAUCAGAAAGCCACGGCUAACUACGUG
Molecule: ribosomal RNA, 497 nt
Filed under: uncultured bacterium
Lineage: Bacteria
Description: partial 16S ribosomal RNA
Rfam family: Bacterial small subunit ribosomal RNA
Source: RNAcentral